Molecule: transfer RNA, 61 nt
Filed under: Xenos vesparum
Lineage: Eukaryota; Metazoa; Arthropoda; Insecta; Strepsiptera; Xenidae
Description: tRNA-Trp
Source: RNAcentral
AAAGGUUUAAGUUAAUGAAACUAUUUACUUUCAAAGUAAAAAAUAAUAAAAUUAACCUUUA